Molecule: ribosomal RNA, 732 nt
Filed under: uncultured bacterium
Lineage: Bacteria
Description: bacterial SSU rRNA
Rfam family: Bacterial small subunit ribosomal RNA
Source: RNAcentral
AGAGUUUGAUCCUGGCUCAGGAUGAACGCUGGCGGUCUGCUUAACACAUGCAAGUCGAACGCAAGAGCAAUACUUGAGUGGCGGACGGGUGAGUAACGCGUGAGAAUCUGCCUUUUGGUCGGGGACAACCACUGGAAACGGUGGCUAAUACCGGAUAUGCCUAACGGUGAAAGAUUAAUUGCCAGAAGAGGAGCUCGCGUCUGAUUAGCUAGUUGGGAGGUAAGAGCUCACCAAGGCAUCGAUCAGUAGCUGGUCUGAGAGGAUGAUCAGCCACACUGGGACUGAGACACGGCCCAGACUCCUACGGGAGGCAGCAGUGGGGAAUUUUCCGCAAUGGGCGAAAGCCUGACGGAGCAAGACCGCGUGAGGGAGGAAGCUUGGGUUGUAAACCUCUUUUUCAGGGAAGAACACAAUGACGGUACCUGAAGAAUCAGCAUCGGCUAACUCCGUGCCAGCAGCCGCGGUAAUACGGGGGAUGCAAGCGUUAUCCGGAAUUAUUGGGCGUAAAGCGUCCGCAGGUGGCUAUCAAGUCUGCUGUCAAAGGGGGCUUAACCCCAAAAAGGCAGUGGAACUGAGAAGCUAGAGUGCAGUAGGGGUAGAGGGAAUUCCCGGUGUAGCGGUGAAAUGCGUAGAGAUCGGGAAGAACAUCGGUGCGAAAGCGCCUUCUGGCUNNNNCUGACACUCAGGGACGAAAGCUAGGGGAGCGAAUGGGAUUAGAUACCCUAGUAGUCC